Molecule: non-coding RNA, 763 nt
Organism: Carica papaya (papaya)
Lineage: Eukaryota; Viridiplantae; Streptophyta; Magnoliopsida; Brassicales; Caricaceae
Source: RefSeq, a predicted model, not a curated record
UCCAGUAUUUAGUAAUCAGAAGCCAGCACAUGGGUCACAUGUGUGCCGAGCUGCAAGUUGGACUCGUCUGAUCUGACCUAUUUUGACUUCUUUGACCUUCAAGUUUGACCAGAUUGGUUCCCUUGACCCAUUCCUGCAUUAAACAGACACGUCCAACUUUUGUUUGAGAGAAAUUUCAGUUUCAACAAUAGUGACUAACACUUAAUUGGGUGCUAGGCAAGAUAGCAUAUGCGGCAGACACUAACAGACUUGAGACAGCGCAGAACACAAUCAAGGAGACGUCUACCUUGGAGAUAAUUUUGAAGAUGUUACCAAAAGUCAAAGCUCUUGAUUUUAAUGGAAGAAGAGAUCUUGAUUUUUUCUGGAUUAGCUUAAUUCAACAGAAGAGAUCUUGAUUUUGAUGGGACAAUAGUGACUCUAACACUUGUUUUCUUCUUUGUGUCUCUUCUAUUCAUAGUUGUAAAGCUAUUUCCUUUCAUAUUCCCAGGUCCUUCCUUGCUGCAUUUUUUUUCCCUCUGUUAACUUAGAUAUACAUUGGGAAUCUUGGAUUCUAUUUUCAUUUAACAUUAUGGUCUUUCUGUCAGGUUGCUGUUAGUACUGCUAUUCAAGAUGAGAAGGAAUUUCUAAACCACAUCAUCACUUCAACAAAUAUGAAGUGCCUGACUCCUCUGUCUGCAUUAGAGGGAGAGUGUGGAUUUAUUGCUGCUAAUCUUUAUGCAAAGAGUAUCUUCGGGGAAGAUGCACUGGUGAAUGUGAGCGUUGA